AAUACCCUAUUAUUUUAAAAGUAAUUAAGUAAAUCUAAUUAGUAAUAGUUAAGUUCUCGAAAAUUAAAGAAUUUGGCGGUAUUUUAGUCUAUUCAGAGGAAUCUGUCCUAUAAUCGAUAAUCCACGAUUUUUUAUACCUAAUUUAUUAAUUUACAUAUCGCCGUAGUUUGAAUAUUUUUUGAAAAUUAUAAUAUUCAUAAUUUAUUUUGAUAAAAAAAAUCAGGUCUAGGUGUAGUUUAUAGUUAGGAAGAGAUGGGUUACAAUAAAAGUAUUUAUUAUGGAUUAAUUAAUUAAAUUUUUUUAUGAAGGUGGAUUUGAAGGUAAUUUUAUUUA
This 333-nucleotide ribosomal RNA is filed under the name Laparocerus exiguus. Its description in RNAcentral is "partial 12S ribosomal RNA". The record is from RNAcentral. Lineage: Eukaryota; Metazoa; Arthropoda; Insecta; Coleoptera; Curculionidae.